RNAcentral lists this non-coding RNA (30 nucleotides) under Rattus norvegicus (Norway rat). Lineage: Eukaryota; Metazoa; Chordata; Mammalia; Rodentia; Muridae. The record is from RNAcentral.
UAGUCAUGAUUAAAUGCGCCGGUAAGCAGA